UACGGGGGGGGGCAAGCGUUGUUCGGAAUUCCUGGGCGUAAAGGGCGCGUAGGCGGCCAUCUAAGUCAGACGUGAAAUCCCUCGGCUCAACCGAGGAACUGCGUCUGAUACUGGAAGGCUUGAAUCCGGGAGAGGGAUGUGGAAUUCCAGGUGUAGCGGUGAAAUGCGUAGAUAUCUGGAGGAACACCGGUGGCGAAGGCGGCAUCCUGGACCGGUAUUGACGCUGAGGCGCGAAAGCUAGGGGAGCAAACGGG
This 254-nucleotide ribosomal RNA is filed under the name uncultured bacterium. RNAcentral describes it as "partial 16S ribosomal RNA". It matches the Rfam family "Bacterial small subunit ribosomal RNA", at positions 524 to 776 of the family's 1533-position model. The record is from RNAcentral.